UGAAUCUGAUGAGGAUUAUGGAUCAUUUGACUGAAAAGCUCGCCAUUACCAGUGAAAUCUACAAGCGUUCAGUCAUUUAUUUAUUUAUUUGAUUUAUCAUGUUCUCUUUAAACUAAUUUGUGGUGUUAUGAACUUAUUUUUAUCUUUGUUGGAUUUGGGAUUUUUGGUUGGCAUCUUAUGUCAACAUAACUUUAUGGUGGAUUUUGUUAAUUGAGUUAUUGUUUUGUUUUAUUUGGUUCGAGUAGU
RNAcentral lists this long non-coding RNA (246 nucleotides) under Lathyrus oleraceus (garden pea). RNAcentral describes it as "Pisum sativum (pea) long non-coding RNA (PSAT_LNC035993)". The record is from RNAcentral. Lineage: Eukaryota; Viridiplantae; Streptophyta; Magnoliopsida; Fabales; Fabaceae.